AACGAACGUUGGCGGCGUGGAUUAGGCAUGCAAGUCGAACGAAUCCCUGGAGCUUGCUCCAGGGGGAAGUGGCGAAAGGGGCAGUAAUGCGUGGGUAACCUACCCCGGGGACGAGGAUAGCCGUUCUAACGGACGGGUAAUACUCGGCGAUUCGGCGAGAGGACAUCCUUUUACCGGGAAAUGAACUUCGCCUCGGGAGGGGCUCACGUGAUAUUAGCUUGUUGGUGAGGUAACGGCUCACCAAGGCGAAGAUGUCUAGCGGGUGUGAGAGCACGACCCGCGCCACUGGCACUGAGACACUGGCCAGACUCCUACGGGAGGCUGCAGUCGAGGAUCUUCGGCAAUGGGCGCAAGCCUGACCGAGCGACGCCGCGUGUGCGAUGAAGGCCUCGGUUGUAAGACACUGUCGAGGGGA
RNAcentral lists this ribosomal RNA (415 nucleotides) under uncultured bacterium. Its description in RNAcentral is "bacterial SSU rRNA". It matches the Rfam family "Bacterial small subunit ribosomal RNA", at positions 28 to 444 of the family's 1533-position model. The record is from RNAcentral.